Long non-coding RNA from Eleginops maclovinus (Patagonian blennie), 2309 nucleotides. RefSeq lists it as uncharacterized. The record is from RefSeq and is a predicted model, not a curated record. Lineage: Eukaryota; Metazoa; Chordata; Actinopteri; Perciformes; Eleginopidae. The transcript is spliced from 2 exons.
UGAUUGAACUGAGCUAAUGUUGAACCGAAAGCUAACUAAACUAACUGUGUUGGACUUUUGUCUGUAAAUGUGUGUGUAGAGAGCUGAGUGUGUGUGUCAAUGUGUUCCUGUGUCCUCAGAGAAUAAUCUGUACAUUUCCUUUCUAGAGUUUUAUUAAUGAGUUAAAGUGUGUUCAUGUUUAGAGGCUCUGCUGCAAAAAUCCGGAGUGUGUUUUCCUCUGUAGAACAUCAGGAUUGAAUCUGCUCUUCACUGAGCUGCAGUCAGGGAGGAGGACGUUCUGACUGCAGGAGGAGGAGCAGACCUCUCUGUAGAAACACUGAAAGUACACAUUAGACAUUAAAGAGUCAGCAAUAUUUCAUCAGAUGAUCACAUGUUUUAACCCGAUCAAAGGGACUAUAUCUGACAGACAGAUGCGGUUAGAGCAUCGUUGUGUAAAUGAUGUAUCUGUAAAACAGAGUUGGAUCAGAUACAGGAUGUAAACAGAUGUUUGUUUCUACAUAGGAAACACACUUCCCAGAGCUCAGGAGGUUCAGUCUCAUGUCCUGUGGGAUCAAACCGUCCCUGAGUCAGGUGGUCUUUGUCCGGAGUAUAAAGGAGUCGUUCAGCUUUAGUUGUUCAGACUGUGAGCCUCGAUCUAAUGUGAACUAUAGCCCUGACUUUAGAGUCACAUUCACUUUGUGUCUUCACUUUCAGGCUCUUCUACUGGAUUGAUUUGUGCUGUUGUAGUUCUCUGCAUUAUUGUAGUUGGUUAGUUGGUGGUGUCGUUGUAUACAUCAAACGUAAAGGAAAGAAAGAGACGCCAAACCCAGCAGCUUCUGAAACAGAUAAACUGAAUGAAGUUCUGUAACUGAGUCGGACCGGUAACCAGCCUCCCCUGUGAUAAAGUGUGUGUGUUCACACUCUGUGCUUCCCAUCAGACUGUGUGAUAUUGUGAGGACUUUUCUCUGCUCCUCAUUUAUUCCAGAGAGAGUUAAGAGCUGGUUUUGAGGUUUAAAUGAGUUUUGAAUGAACAAGAGGCCGUGGUUCAAGGGUAAAAUAUAAAACUCCUCUAGAUUUUAAACAAAUGUAAAUUAUUUUAGAACUCAAAAGAUGUUAACAAGCAGACACAGAAGAGAGGAAGAGCCCUUUAAUGCAUGAGUCGUUCCUUAAAGACAGAACUGGUUAAUGUUUGGAGUUCUACUUCAACACACACACUUGGAAUGCCUUCCCUGUGUUCAGGAGGACGGGUUCUCUCUGUUUUUAUGUCGCUUUUUUUCUCUUCAUUUAGAUUUUUUUUGCACUUCUUUUUUAUUUGUCAACGCAGGGAUAUUAAUUCCAGGUAACAAGGCCAUCCGGAAUAUAGUGACAUCACUACGGAACACUCCCGCUUCAACACAUUGUUAUAAUAGGCUAAAUUGGCGGGACAUCUCUAAGUGGUUGACCAAUAAACAACAGAGCCGGCCAGCUGACCAAUCAGAGCCCCUAAAUAUGUCCUCUUCAGAUAUAAAGUCAUUUCAUUUAUGAUAAGGCCUCACAACAAAGUAUUAUACUAAAGGAUUAAUACGAGAGGAAUUGACUCUUAAUUAUGACGAAACAGAUGAUUGAUGAAUCAUUCCUUUAAUAGAUAAUAGGUUUUGUGACUGAACUGAGAUCUGCUAUCUCAAAUGCCUUAAUUUAGUUUAGAAAAACUGUUUAUUUGACUGUUUAUGAAGCUUUGAGAUUUUUAUUCUAUUACCUUUUUCACUUAGUAUUUGCACAUGUGUGUACUUUGAUUAUUUGCAGGUAUUUUAUUUUAUAACAGUAUUUAUUUAAUGGAGGAGAGGAAGCUACAGAGAAACUGAUGCAGAGUGAGGAGAUGGCAGAGCAGCAGAUUAGUAAUGAGGACAAGUUACGCAAAGUUUAAACCAUCAUCACCAGAGUUUGAUCUUUCAGUAGUUUUUGUGUAAAUGAAUGUUAUUAAGUCAUAAAAGCAUGGCGUCCAUGAUUGUAGUCCUUUACCAGAGGCUCCCCUGCUGCUUGCAGUUCUUAAAGGAUGUGCAGAAUCUCUCUGAUCUGAAGCCUGCUGUCCCGCUGUAACACUCUGAAGCUAAAGGGAAAUAUAAUGGCACUUAUUUUAUAUGUGUAUUCACAUUGUUUGUUAGGAGCUUGUUGUGUGUGAUUUAAUAAAGCUGUAAUCCAAAGUCUGUCAGCUGAAGGAUGAGCUCUGUUCCUGUGAUGAGGAACUGCUCCUCUGAAAGCUCCUUGAUGUUCUCUGAUGCUCUGCAGGGUUUCUGUGCUUCAUUUAAACUCACCCAUUUAUAUCCAGAUGUUUCAAUAAAGCAUGGAGUCCA